RNAcentral lists this ribosomal RNA (657 nucleotides) under Lactococcus sp. Its description in RNAcentral is "bacterial SSU rRNA". It matches the Rfam family "Bacterial small subunit ribosomal RNA", at positions 186 to 833 of the family's 1533-position model. Lineage: Bacteria; Bacillati; Bacillota; Bacilli; Lactobacillales; Streptococcaceae. The record is from RNAcentral.
AGACAUCUUUUAAGUUUGAAAGGAGCAAUUGCUUCACUUCUCGAUGAUCCCGCGUUGUAUUAGCUAGUUGGUGAGGUAACGGCUCACCAAGGCGAUGAUACAUAGCCGACCUGAGAGGGUGAUCGGCCACAUUGGGACUGAGACACGGCCCAAACUCCUACGGGAGGCAGCAGUAGGGAAUCUUCGGCAAUGGACGCAAGUCUGACCGAGCAACGCCGCGUGAGUGAAGAAGGUUUUCGGAUCGUAAAACUCUGUUGUUGUUAAAGAACGUUGAUGAGAGUGGAAAGUUCAUCAAGUGACGGUAAACAACCAGAAAGGGACGGCUAACUACGUGCCAGCAGCCGCGGUAAUACGUAGGUCCCGAGCGUUGUCCGGAUUUAUUGGGCGUAAAGCGAGCGCAGGUGGUUUCUUAAGUCUGGUGUAAAAGGCUACUGCUCAACAGUAGUACGCAUUGGAAACUGGGAGACUUGAGUGCAGGAGAGGAGAGUGGAAUUCCAUGUGUAGCGGUGAAAUGCGUAGAUAUAUGGAGGAACACCGGAGGCGAAAGCGGCUCUCUGGCCUGUAACUGACACUGAGCUCGAAAGCGUGGGGAGCAAACAGGAUUAAUACCCUGGUAGUCCACGCCGUAAACGAUGAGUGCUAGAUGUGGGAAGCAUA